UGGCGGCGUGCUUAACACAUGCAAGUCGAGCGAUGAAGUUUCUUCGGAAAUGGAUUAGCGGCGAACGGGUGAGGAACACGUGAAGAAUCUGCCCUCCACUUUGGGAUAACACCGGGAAACCGGUGCUAAUACCGAAUAUUGAAACAUAAGUGGCAUCACUGAGUUUUGAAAGAAUUUCGGUGGAGGAUGACUUCGCGGCCUAUCAGCUAGUUGGUGAGGUAAUGGCUCACCAAGGCAACGACGGGUAGCCGGCCUGAGAGGGCGACCGGCCACACUGGGACUGAGACACGGCCCAGACUCCUACGGGAGGCAGCAGUGGGGAAUAUUGGGCAAUGGAGGAAACUCUGACCCAGCGACGCCGCGUGCGGGAUGAAGGCCUUCGGGUUGUAAACCGCUUUCGGUAGGGAAGAAGCGAAAGUGACGGUACCUACAAAAGAAGCACCGGCUAACUAUGUGCCAGCAGCCGCGGUAAUACAUAGGGUGCAAGCGUUGUCCGGAAUUAUUGGGCGUAAAGAGCUCGUAGGUCGUUUGUUACGUCGGAUGUGAAAACCUGAGGCUCAACCUCAGGCCUGCAUUCGAUACGGGCAAACUAGAGUUUGGUAGGGGAGACUGGAAUUCCUGGUGUAGCGGUGGAAUGCGCAGAUAUCAGGAGGAACACCAAUGGCGAAGGCAGGUCUCUGGGCCAAUACUGACACUGAGGAGCGAAAGUCUGGGGAGCAAACAGGAUUAGAUACCCUGGUAGUCCAGACCGUAAACGGUGGGCACUAGUUGUGGGAACCUUCCACGGUUUCUGCGACGCAGCUAACGCAUUAAGGGCCCCGCCCGGGGAGUACCAUCGCAA
RNAcentral lists this ribosomal RNA (841 nucleotides) under uncultured bacterium. RNAcentral describes it as "bacterial SSU rRNA". It matches the Rfam family "Bacterial small subunit ribosomal RNA", at positions 37 to 891 of the family's 1533-position model. The record is from RNAcentral.